Molecule: ribosomal RNA, 1488 nt
Filed under: Enterobacter asburiae
Lineage: Bacteria; Pseudomonadati; Pseudomonadota; Gammaproteobacteria; Enterobacterales; Enterobacteriaceae
Description: bacterial SSU rRNA
Rfam family: Bacterial small subunit ribosomal RNA
Source: RNAcentral
AACGCGGGGCGCAGGCCUAACACCUGCAUGUAGAGCCGUCGCACAGAGAGCUUGCUCUUGGGUGACGAGCGGCGGACGGGUGAGUAAUGUCUGGGAAACUGCCUGAUGGAGGGGGAUAACUACUGGAAACGGUAGCUAAUACCGCAUAACGUCGCAAGACCAAAGAGGGGGACCUUCGGGCCUCUUGCCAUCAGAUGUGCCCAGAUGGGAUUAGCUAGUAGGUGGGGUAACGGCUCACCUAGGCGACGAUCCCUAGCUGGUCUGAGAGGAUGACCAGCCACACUGGAACUGAGACACGGUCCAGACUCCUACGGGAGGCAGCAGUGGGGAAUAUUGCACAAUGGGCGCAAGCCUGAUGCAGCCAUGCCGCGUGUAUGAAGAAGGCCUUCGGGUUGUAAAGUACUUUCAGCGGGGAGGAAGGUGUUGAGGUUAAUAACCUCAGCAAUUGACGUUACCCGCAGAAGAAGCACCGGCUAACUCCGUGCCAGCAGCCGCGGUAAUACGGAGGGUGCAAGCGUUAAUCGGAAUUACUGGGCGUAAAGCGCACGCAGGCGGUCUGUCAAGUCGGAUGUGAAAUCCCCGGGCUCAACCUGGGAACUGCAUUCGAAACUGGCAGGCUAGAGUCUUGUAGAGGGGGGUAGAAUUCCAGGUGUAGCGGUGAAAUGCGUAGAGAUCUGGAGGAAUACCGGUGGCGAAGGCGGCCCCCUGGACAAAGACUGACGCUCAGGUGCGAAAGCGUGGGGAGCAAACAGGAUUAGAUACCCUGGUAGUCCACGCCGUAAACGAUGUCAGAUUUGGAGACGUUGUGCCCUUGAGGAGUGGCUUCCGGAGCUAACGCCGUUAAAAUCGAACCCCGGCCUGGGGAGUACGGCCGCAAGGUUAAAACUCAAAUGAAUUGACGGGGGCCCGCACAAGCGGUGGAGCAUGUGGUUUAAUUCGAUGCAACGCGAAGAACCUUACCUACUCUUGACAUCCAGAGAACUUUCCAGAGAUGGAUUGGUGCCUUCGGGAACUCUGAGACAGGUGCUGCAUGGCUGUCGUCAGCUCGUGUUGUGAAAUGUUGGGUUAAGUCCCGCAACGAGCGCAACCCUUAUCCUUUGUUGCCAGCGGUCCGGCCGGGAACUCAAAGGAGACUGCCAGUGAUAAACUGGAGGAAGGUGGGGAUGACGUCAAGUCAUCAUGGCCCUUACGAGUAGGGCUACACACGUGCUACAAUGGCGCAUACAAAGAGAAGCGACCUCGCGAGAGCAAGCGGACCUCAUAAAGUGCGUCGUAGUCCGGAUUGGAGUCUGCAACUCGACUCCAUGAAGUCGGAAUCGCUAGUAAUCGUAGAUCAGAAUGCUACGGUGAAUACGUUCCCGGGCCUUGUACACACCGCCCGUCACACCAUGGGAGUGGGUUGCAAAAGAAGUAGGUAGCUUAACCUUCGGGAGGGCGCUUACCACUUUGUGAUUCAUGACUGGGGUGAAGUCGUAAAAAGGUAACCAA